RNAcentral lists this ribosomal RNA (445 nucleotides) under uncultured bacterium. RNAcentral describes it as "bacterial SSU rRNA". It matches the Rfam family "Bacterial small subunit ribosomal RNA", at positions 354 to 796 of the family's 1533-position model. The record is from RNAcentral.
GUAGGGAAUAUUGGGCAAUGGAUGCAAGUCUGACCCAGCCAUCCCGCGUGCCGGAAGAAGGCCCUCAGGGUUGUAAACGGCUUUUGACGGUGAAGAAUCGACAGGAUGCGUCCUGUUUUGACGGUAGCCGUUGAAUAAGCACCGGCUAACUCCGUGCCAGCAGCCGCGGUAAUACGGAGGGUGCGAGCGUUGUCCGGAUUUAUUGGGUUUAAAGGGUGCGUAGGAUGGAAGGUCAGUCAGCGGUGAAAAGCUGUCGCUGAACGAUAGUCUUGCCGCAGAUACUUCCUUUCUUGGAUGAGGAGGAGGCCACUGGAACGGAUGGUGUAGCGGUGAAAUGCAUAGAUAUCAUCCAGAACACCGAUUGCGAAGGCAGGUGGCUGUACCUUAAUCGACGCUGAUGCACGAAAGCAUGGGGAGCAAACAGGAUUAGAAACCCGUGUAGUCC